GACGAACGCUGGCGGCGUGCCUAAUACAUGCAAGUCGAACGAACCGCGACUAGGUGCUUGCACUUGGUCAAGGUGAGUGGCGAACGGGUGAGUAACACGUGGGUAACCUACCUCAUAGUGGGGGAUAACAGUCGGAAACGACUGCUAAUACCGCAUAGGACAUGGGAUCACAUGAUUCUGUGAGGAAAGGUGGCGCAAGCUAUCGCUAAGAGAUGGACCCGCGGUGCAUUAGCUAGUUGGUAGGGUAACGGCCUACCAAGGCGAUGAUGCAUAGCCGACCUGAGAGGGUGAUCGGCCACAUUGGGACUGAGACACGGCCCAAACUCCUACGGGAGGCAGCAGUAGGGAAUCUUCCGCAAUGGACGCAAGUCUGACGGAGCAACGCCGCGUGAGUGAAGAAGGUCUUCGGAUCGUAAAGCUCUGUUGUUAGAGAAGAACAGCGCAUAGAGUAACUGUUAUGCUUGUGACGGUAUCUAACCAGAAAGCCACGGCUAACUACGUG
RNAcentral lists this ribosomal RNA (502 nucleotides) under uncultured bacterium. RNAcentral describes it as "partial 16S ribosomal RNA". It matches the Rfam family "Bacterial small subunit ribosomal RNA", at positions 28 to 507 of the family's 1533-position model. The record is from RNAcentral.